Molecule: long non-coding RNA, 235 nt
Organism: Drosophila innubila
Lineage: Eukaryota; Metazoa; Arthropoda; Insecta; Diptera; Drosophilidae
Exons: 2
Source: RefSeq, a predicted model, not a curated record
AUAACUGAACGGAUCGGUGCGAAUUGUUGUUCGACGACAGCGACAGUGACUCCGUAACGGUAAAAGGUGUUCACAACUUGACAUUAGGAGGUAGACGAUGUUGUAGAAGGCGUGGCAAUGAGCAGAGGAAUAAACUGGCACAACAACUUUAAAAGUACAAACCAAGUGCAGAAUUGAAGAGCACAGACCGAGCAACAAUACAAAAUGCGAUGUCAGCAACAGCAGCAAGUACAAC